Pongo abelii (Sumatran orangutan) is the source of this 148-nucleotide unclassified non-coding RNA. It matches the Rfam family "Metazoan signal recognition particle RNA". Rfam says of the family: The signal recognition particle (SRP) is a universally conserved ribonucleoprotein. It is involved in the co-translational targeting of proteins to membranes. Lineage: Eukaryota; Metazoa; Chordata; Mammalia; Primates; Hominidae. The record is from Ensembl.
GCUGGGUGUGGUGGCGUGCGCCUGUAAUCCCUGCCACUCAGGAGGCUGAGGCAGGAGACUUGCUUGAACCCAGGAGGUGGAGGUUGCAGUGAGACGAAAUCGUGCCACUGCACUCCAGCCUGGGAGACAGAGUGAGACUCUGUCUCAA